RNAcentral lists this unclassified non-coding RNA (627 nucleotides) under Hevea brasiliensis (rubber tree). The record is from RNAcentral. Lineage: Eukaryota; Viridiplantae; Streptophyta; Magnoliopsida; Malpighiales; Euphorbiaceae.
AGAAGAGAAAACCAUGUGCAAUCUACAAACGGGCAAAAUUGGUUUCAUAAUUAAUUAACCCUGAAAUUUCCUAUGAUCAUGAUAUGAUUCUAAACAUUGUUGUAUUUGUAACAGAUAUAGUUUGAAGGGAAGCAACAUCUUACACACAAGAAAAGUUAAUGACAUGUGUAAUCAGUUAAAUCACAAAGUGGAUGAGGACCCUAAGAACCAAGCCAACAAGCACGACUAUGAAAUGUUAAAUGAAAUUCAUGUGAUAGAAACAGGAUGGAACUGUUGUGUACAAUGGCUGUCAUACAUGGUUCUCCAGAGUCCAGACUGAUGCAAUGAUGCCAUUACAAAAGUAGAAGCAAACUACAAAAUUAUAAAAAUGGCUGAUGCAGUUUCACAGACUCAUAAAAUAUUGUAAAGAAAAAUGAUAGCCAGCUUAUAGGCUUUAUUAGCAAAGAUGUUAAGAAGUAUAAAAAGGAUGCCUCCUUGCAUGGGACCUCCAGCGUAGUGGACUAUGGGAUGGUCGAAGUAAUUUCACAUUUUCCAUAUAAUCAACUGCCAAAUUGACACUAGCAGUAAAAUGACACAGUCGAUAGAAUGUCAGUGUGCCCCUUGAUGUUUUAUCAUAUGAUAUUUAAA